UUGGAGGGCAAGUCUGGUGCCAGCAGCUGCGGUAAUUCCAGCUCCAAUAGCGUAUAUUAAAGUUGUUGCAGUUAAAAAGCUCGUAGUUGAAUUUCGGGGUCAGUAGGUUGGUCAUGCCACUGGUAUGUACUGGUCUCACUGAUUCCUCCUUCCUGAUGAGCCGUAAUGCCAUUAAUUUGGUGUUGCGAGGAAUCUGGACUGUUACUUCGAAAAAAUUAGAGUGUUUAAAGCAAGCUAACGCUUGAAUACAUUAGCAUGGAAUAAUGAAAUAGGACGUUCGAUCCUAUUUUGUUGGUUUCUAGGAUUGACGUAAUGAUUAAUAGGGAUAGUUGGGGGCAUUAGUAUUCAAUUGUCAGAGGUGAAAUUCUUGGAUUUAUUGAAGACUAACUACUGCGAAAGCAUUUGCCAAGGAUGUUUUCAUUAAUCAAGAACGAAAGUUAGGGGAUCGAAGACGAUCAGAUACCGUCGUAGUCUUAACCAUAUACUAUGCCGACUAGGGAUCGGAUGAUGUUAAUUUUUUAAUGACUCAUUCGGCGCCUUACGGGAAACCAAAGUGUUUGGGUUC
Molecule: ribosomal RNA, 565 nt
Filed under: uncultured Glomeromycotina
Lineage: Eukaryota; Fungi; Glomeromycota
Description: SSU rRNA
Rfam family: Eukaryotic small subunit ribosomal RNA
Source: RNAcentral